RNAcentral lists this long non-coding RNA (1173 nucleotides) under Ricinus communis (castor bean). RNAcentral describes it as "long non-coding RNA (RCOM_LNC002850)". Lineage: Eukaryota; Viridiplantae; Streptophyta; Magnoliopsida; Malpighiales; Euphorbiaceae. The record is from RNAcentral.
GCAAUGUUUAGAAUCAUUGUUAAUGAUUGCAACCAAGUUUAAAAAAUAAAAUAAAAAUUGUUUUGUUCACAAAUUUACCAAAUAGCAAGUGAUCAAAAGAAUGUCUUAGUUCAUAGAUUUACUAAAUGUUGCAUCAUAAGGUUAGGUUCGUUUAAAUUAAGAAAUAAUUGCUUAAAAAGAAUUGAAAGUGAAGUCUUAUGUAAUUGAUUGGCUAGUGUGAACUAGAGGACAUUUUGAUCAAAUGGGGGAAGUGAUGUAAGACAAUGACUUUAGAUAUCUUUUUUUUCUUUUUUGCUUUCUAAAAAAGUUAAGUGAUUUCACUAAUAUCUUGUUUUUGUAAAGAAGAAAUAUCUUUCUUCAUGUUUACUGGUCCAACUUUGCUUUGAGGGUCUCUCCAAUUAGUGCCAAAAUGGUCACUAACUUAUAGAAAGGGGGUGUCUUUCUUGUAUUGUCAUGAUUGUCCUUUUUUGCAAUGCAAAGGCAAAGAAUCAUUCUCAUGAUGAUACCCUUUUACUAAUUAUAUUCAGAGGUUUUCUUCCUCUCUUGUUUAGGAAGAUUGAAACUGCUUAAUUCAAAAAAAAAAAAAUAAUAAAUAAAUAAAGUUUCCAAACUCAAUAUUUUUUCAUAAAGUUUUGUUGGUGAUACUUGUUCUGGCAGAAGAUGUAUCUUAAAUUCCUGUAAGCUUGCAUACAACAAAUCUGCAAACCCAUGUUGGGAUGCUAAAUGGGACUUUCUUUGGUCAAGCCAGGGAAAAAUAGAGGCCACUUGAUUAUAUCAUUGGGUAAGGAAUAUAUAUACAUAUAUAUUUCUUUUUGGGUCCAAUAGCUAAGAAUAUUUUCAAGUUGCUUAAAUAUAUGUGACCUUAAGGGGAGAACUCUUGGUGGAGUGACGUGGCAAGAUGUGGUUCAUCAAAGAUUUAGUGCAGCUAUGAUAGAGCUACUCAUAGAACACCACAAUAUCAUUAUGCCAGAGCUACUCAUCAAAGGUUAACAUUGCUUUACCUGAAACGAACUUUCCUUCCCAACUUCACCAAAAAGCAAGGCAAAAGAAAGGGUCACAGCUUCUUCAUCAAAGUCACGAAAGAAAGUAAAAGAAAAAAAGACAAGAACUGUAAAAGCAAUAAUCUUUUUUGCACUAAAAGGGAGAACCCUUAGCAUGGGAAUGCUGGUGGAG